UACGUAGGGUGCAAGCGUUAAUCGAAAUUACUGGGCGUAAAGCGUGCGCAGGCGGUUAUGUAAGACAGAUGUGAAAUGCCCGGGCUUAACCUGGGAACUGCAUUUGUGACUGCAUGGCUAGAGUUUGGCAGAGGGGGGUAGAAUUCCACGUGUAGCAGUGAAAUGCGUAGAUAUGUGGAGGAACACCGAUGGCGAAGGCAGCCCCCUGGGCCAGCACUGACGCUCAUGCACGAAAGCGUGGGGAGCAAACAGG
RNAcentral lists this ribosomal RNA (253 nucleotides) under uncultured bacterium. RNAcentral describes it as "partial 16S ribosomal RNA". It matches the Rfam family "Bacterial small subunit ribosomal RNA", at positions 524 to 776 of the family's 1533-position model. The record is from RNAcentral.